This 418-nucleotide ribosomal RNA is filed under the name uncultured bacterium. RNAcentral's name for it is "bacterial SSU rRNA". It matches the Rfam family "Bacterial small subunit ribosomal RNA", at positions 355 to 772 of the family's 1533-position model. The record is from RNAcentral.
UGGGGAAUCUUGCGCAAUGGCCGCAAGGCUGACGCAGCGACGCCGCGUGUGGGAGGACGCCCUUCGGGGUGUAAACCACUGUUGCCCGGGACGAACUGGCUCUUUCGAGGGCCCUGACGGUACCGGGUGAGGAAGCACCGGCCAACCCCGUGCCAGCAGCCGCGGUAAUACGGAGGGUGCGAGCGUUGUCCGGAAUCAUUGGGCGUAAAGGGCGCGUAGGUGGCCCGGUUAGUCCGUGGUGAAAGCGCGGGGCUCAACCCUGCGUCGGCCAUGGAUACUGCCGCGGCUGGAGCACUGUAGAGGCAGGCGGAAUUCCGGGUGUAGCGGUGGAAUGCGUAGAGAUCCGGAAGAACACCGGUGGCGAAGGCGGCCUGCUGGGCAGUGGCUGACACUGAGGCGCGACAGCGUGGGGAGCAAA